This 1370-nucleotide ribosomal RNA is filed under the name uncultured bacterium. RNAcentral describes it as "bacterial SSU rRNA". It matches the Rfam family "Bacterial small subunit ribosomal RNA", at positions 28 to 1387 of the family's 1533-position model. The record is from RNAcentral.
AUUGAACGCUGGCGGCAGGCCUAACACAUGCAAGUCGAACGGUAACAGGAAGAAGCUUGCUUCUUUGCUGACGAGUGGCGGACGGGUGAGUAAUGUCUGGGAAACUGCCUGAUGGAGGGGGAUAACUACUGGAAACGGUAGCUAAUACCGCAUAAUGUCGCAAGACCAAAGAGGGGGACCUUCGGGCCUCUUGCCAUCGGAUGUGCCCAGAUGGGAUUAGCUAGUAGGUGGGGUAACGGCUCACCUAGGCGACGAUCCCUAGCUGGUCUGAGAGGAUGACCAGCCACACUGGAACUGAGACACGGUCCAGACUCCUACGGGAGGCAGCAGUGGGGAAUAUUGCACAAUGGGCGCAAGCCUGAUGCAGCCAUGCCGCGUGUAUGAAGAAGGCCUUCGGGUUGUAAAGUACUUUCAGCGGGGAGGAAGGGAGUAAAGUUAAUACCUUUGCUCAUUGACGUUACCCGCAGAAGAAGCACCGGCUAACUCCGUGCCAGCAGCCGCGGUAAUACGGAGGGUGCAAGCGUUAAUCGGAAUUACUGGGCGUAAAGCGCACGCAGGCGGUUUGUUAAGUCAGAUGUGAAAUCCCCCGGGCUCAACCUGGGAACUGCAUCUGAUACUGGCAAGCUUGAGUCUCGUAGAGGGGGGUAGAAUUCCAGGUGUAGCGGUGAAAUGCGUAGAGAUCUGGAGGAAUACCGGUGGCGAAGGCGGCCCCCUGGACGAAGACUGACGCUCAGGUGCGAAAGCGUGGGGAGCAAACAAGAUUAGAUACCCUGGUAGUCCACGCCGUAAACGAUGUCGACUUGGAGGUUGUGCCCUCGAGGCGUGGCUUCCGGAGCUAACGCGUUAAGUCGACCGCCUGGGGAGUACGGCCGCAAGGUUAAAACUCAAAUGAAUUGACGGGGGCCCGCACAAGCGGUGGAGCAUGUGGUUUAAUUCGAUGCAACGCGAAGAACCUUACCUGGUCUUGUCAUCCACAGAACUUUCCAGAGAUGGAUUGGUGCCUUCGGGAACUGUGAGACAGGUGCUGCAUGGCUGUCGUCAGCUCGUGUUGUGAAAUGUUGGGUUAAGUCCCGCAACGAGCGCAACCCUUAUCCUUUGUUGCCAGCGGUCCGGCCGGGAACUCAAAGGAGACUGCCAGUGAUAAACUGGAGGAAGGUGGGGAGGACGUCAAGUCAUCAUGGCCCUUACGACCAGGGCUACACACGUGCUACAAUGGCGCAUACAAAGAGAAGCGACCUCGCGAGAGCAAGCGGACCUCAUAAAGUGCGUCGUAGUCCGGAUUGGAGUCUGCAACUCGACUCCACGAAGUCGGAAUCGCUAGUAAUCGUGGAUCAGAAUGCCACGGUGAAUAAAAUCCCGGGCCUUGCACU